Long non-coding RNA from Clupea harengus (Atlantic herring), 431 nucleotides. The record is from Ensembl. NCBI's taxonomy places the organism in Eukaryota, Metazoa, Chordata, Actinopteri, Clupeiformes, Clupeidae.
UGCAGUGAAGUGCAGUGAAGUGAAGUGAAGUGAAGUGAAGUGAAGUGAAGUGCAUUGCAGUGAAGUGCAGUGAAGUGAAUGCAGUAAAGUGCAGUAAAGUGAAGUAAAGUGAAGUAAAGUAAAGUAAAGUAAAGUAAAGUAAAGUAAAGUGAAGUGAAGUGAAGUGCAGUGAAGUGAAGUGAAGUGCAGUGAAGUGCAGUGAAGUGAAGUAAAGUAAAGUAAAGUAAAGUGAAGUGAAGUGCAGUGAAGUGAAGUAAAGUAAAGUAAAGUGAAGUGCAGUGCAGUGAAGUGAAGUGAAGUGCAGUGCAGUGCAGUGAAGUGAAGGGAAGGGAAGGGAAGUGAAGGGCAGUGAAGUGCAGUGAAGUGAAGUGAAGGGAAGUGAAGUGAAGUGAAGUGAAGUGAAGUGAAGUGAAGUGAAGUGAAGUGAAGUG